GGCCUGCUAGCUCAACUGAAUAGAGCACUUGACUUCGGAUCAAGAGGUUGUAGGUUUGAACCCUACGCAGGUCA
This 74-nucleotide transfer RNA is filed under the name Bacteroidales bacterium KA00251. It matches the Rfam family "tRNA". Rfam says of the family: Transfer RNA (tRNA) molecules are approximately 80 nucleotides in length. Lineage: Bacteria; Pseudomonadati; Bacteroidota; Bacteroidia; Bacteroidales. The record is from Rfam by way of RNAcentral.